Molecule: non-coding RNA, 11574 nt
Organism: Doryrhamphus excisus (bluestripe pipefish)
Lineage: Eukaryota; Metazoa; Chordata; Actinopteri; Syngnathiformes; Syngnathidae
Source: RefSeq, a predicted model, not a curated record
ACAAUAUUAGUCAAAUGUUUUGUUCAAUGAGAUCACAGUUUUUGCGCGACACCACGUGUCCAUUUACGGCAUUACAACAACGUCGCCACUUUCCUGCCUCGAAGUUUUAGCUAGCUUACCACACUUUAGCCACACACUUUGAGGAUUAGGAUGCUCAGACUAGCAUGGCGUCGCUCGGCGUCCAUAAAUAGCAUCGUGGAGCCUCCUCUUCUUGUCACUGCAGCUUUCAGGGACACGACCCCUCCUCUCAAGAGCAACUUAGGAGCUCGCAUCAGGCUUUUCCAACAGUUUCCCCACCCACCAAGCCUCUGGUCUCCGCCGCUCAGCCCUACGCAGCAGCUGUCCCAUUACCCCAGAUCAUCUCCCUUUAUGAGCAUGGCAUCAGGAGGCGAAGGACCGCCAUCGACCCCUCCCCGACACACAAAUAGGCUAUCCAAAGAGAGGUCACCCUACCUGCUACAACAUGCACAUAACCCAGUUGACUGGUAUCCAUGGGGGCAGGAUGCUUUCAACAAGGCACGAAGUGAAGACAAACCAAUCUUUUUAUCAGUGGGCUACUCAACAUGCCACUGGUGCCAUGUUAUGGAGCGGGAGUCGUUCGAAGAUGAGGACAUUGGCAAAAUCCUCAAUGAGAACUUUGUCUGCAUCAAAGUAGACCGAGAAGAGAGACCAGAUGUUGACAAGGUGUACAUGACCUUCGUACAGGCAACAAGUGGAGGCGGAGGAUGGCCCAUGAGUGUUUGGUUAACCCCUGAUCUUCGGCCUUUUAUUGGAGGCACCUACUUUCCACCCAGAGACCAUGGAAGAAGACCCGGCUUUAAGACAGUCCUCUUCAGAAUCAUAGAACAGUGGCAGAACAACCGUUCCAACUUGGAGUCCAGUGGCGACAGGAUCCUUGAAGCUCUGAAAAAAGGCACAACUGUGGCUGCGCACCCAGGUGAGAGUCCUCCCUUGGCCCCCGAUGUGGCUUGUCGCUGUUUCCAGCAGCUCGUCCGCUCUUAUGAAGAAGAGUACGGAGGCUUCAGAGAUGCUCCCAAGUUCCCCACGCCAGUGAACUUGAUGUUUCUGAUGUCUUACUGGUCUGUGAAUCGCUCCACGUCAGAGGGGGUUGAGGCUCUCCAGAUGGCUAUGCAUACUCUUCGCAUGAUGGCGCUCGGUGGCAUCCAUGACCAUAUAGCGCAGGGUUUUCAUCGUUACUCUACAGAUUCUUCUUGGCACGUUCCCCACUUUGAAAAGAUGUUGUACGACCAGGCCCAGCUCGCUGUUGCCUACAUAACGGCGUUCCAGGUAUCAGGUGAGCAGUUCUUUGCAGAUGUGGCCAAAGACAUACUACUUUACGUCUCCAGAGAUCUGAGUGACCAGUCUGGAGGCUUCUACAGUGCAGAGGAUGCAGACUCUAUCCCAUCAUCGGGAGGCUCGGAAAAGCGUGAGGGGGCUUUUUGCGUUUGGACAGCCUCAGAGGUUCGGCAGCUGUUGGCAGAUGUGGUGGAGGGUGCCAGUGGCUCUGCAACAUUGGGAGAUAUUUUCAUGCACCACUAUGGGGUGAAGGAGCUUGGCAAUGUUGCCCCUGAGCAGGACCCUCAUGAGGAGCUGCAGGGCCAGAAUGUGCUGAUUGUGCGGUAUUCUGCAGAGUUAACAGCUGCACGCUUUGGCAUUACUGUGGAGAUGGUCAAUGAGCUUUUGGCAUCGGCCAGAGCCAAAAUGGCAGAAGUGAGGAAGACUCGCCCACGACCACAUCUGGACACCAAGAUGCUGGCCUCCUGGAAUGGGCUCAUGCUGUCAGCCUAUGCCCGUGUUGGCGCCGUGCUUGGGGACAAGGCCCUGCUAGAGAGGGCGGAGCUGGCCGGCCACUUCCUUAAAGAGCAUCUGUGGGACGCAGGGAUGCAGACCAUUCUGCGAUCCUGUUACCGUGGAGACCAGAUGGAGGUGCAGCAGAUCUCACCUCCAAUUUCUGGCUUCCUGGAUGAUUACGCCUUCGUUAUUUGUGGGUUGCUGGACCUAUAUGAGGCCACACUGCAGACGGAGUGGUUGCAGUGGGCCGAAGAGCUGCAGCUCAGGCAGGAUGCGCUGUUCUGGGACGCACUGGGUGGAGGCUACUUCUGCAGCGAUCCCAGUGAUGGCACUGUUCUCCUGCAACUUAAAGAAGAUCAGGAUGGCGCAGAGCCUAGCGCCAACUCUGUUUCAGCUUCCAGUCUCUUACGUCUGUCCCAGUACACUGGAAGACAGGAAUGGCUCCAGAGAUCCCAACAGCUGCUGGCGGCCUUCUCUGACCGCCUAACCAAUGUUCCCAUUGCACUACCUGAGAUGGUCCGGGCUCUUAUGGCACAGCACUACACGCUCAAGCAGAUUGUGAUAUGUGGCGAAAGGGAUUCCCCGGAUACCAAAAGUCUUUUAGAUGCAGUUAACUCUCUCUUCUUACCACACAAGGUCUUGAUGCUUUUAGACGGCAAUGCAGACAGUUUCCUGUGCCAGCGUCUGCCUGCACUCUCCUCCAUGACCCAGCAGGGUGGAGUGGCCACCGCCUACGUAUGCCAGGACUUCACCUGCUCACUGCCCGUCACAGACCCCCAGGAACUCCGCAGGCUUCUACUGGAUGGACAUGUGGGAACGCAGGCAGAAUAAUCGCUUGACACCUUUCUUGACUUGACUUAAAGCAGCUUUAAAGACUCAAACGAUGAGCAGCUUGUUUUGCUGUCUGUAGCAGGUUAAAUGAUCAUUUUUUUUGCCACAAGAUUAGACUUCUCUCCGUAGCAUGUUAAUUAUUCCACUUCAUUAAUUCGUCAAAUAUCAGUUUAAAGUUAGAAGCCAUAUAAAGUCAUUAAGGUAUACAAAGUCUGUUAAAAAAAACAAAAAAACAAUAAGCUACACUGUGAGCUCACUCUAAAUAUGUAGUGCUUGUGCAAAAUGGCCUUUUGUGCGGUGUGAUGUGUUUCCUCCGAGGGAAGCAACACACUUUUAAUAGAUCUUAACCUAAGCUUGAACCAACAUUGUUUUCCUUCUUCCAAGCCCCUUCCUCUAGCUCCCACGUCGCAUGGAUCUGACAAGGGCUGCCUUCACGCCGGUGUGUGUGUGUGUGCAUGCAUAUCUGUGGGCGACCGUUUUUUAAAACUUCAUGGUAUGUAUGUACGUGCGUUUGACGUCAUCUGUAAUCGUGUCACAGUGAGCGAGCUGCUCUCUAAUGAGAUGCCCUGUUACCAUCUGCUCUCGCUCACUUCACCGCAAUCUCAACUCAAUGCGGCUGUGUGAGGUGAAUCUUUUACAUGAAUGCAGAUAGACGCCAUAUUUACACGUCUAAGGCCAACACUAGCUUUGUUGUUUUUUCACACUAAUCAUUUUGGCAUAAUUUAACAGCUAAUAAAUAAUAUAUAUAUAUAUAUAUAUAACCCAUUGUCAGUAUAUUUUGUGCUGAAGUAGUGCAUGAGCUCUUGGUGACAAUCUGGAUAAAUGCAGAUAUAGCAAUUAAUAUAAAUCCAAUUAAUAUCAAUACCAAUCGAAAUGUCAUUUUUAAAUGACUAACUUGAUCUCAGCAACAAAACUAUUUAACUUAACUAAACAAUCUGCAGGUCUUUGGACACCCUUUGGACGCACUAUGGCAUCAAUGGAAUUGUCCACCCCCUGAAUCAUAUUGGUACCGCCUCUCUGUUUGUAUUGAUGCAACAUAAUCAUACACAAAUACAUCCAUGCUGCUUUUGUUGGUAGGUCAAAAUCUGCACAAUGCAAUUCAGGUUGAUUAUUUUAUAUUCUUACUCAUAUACGUAUUUAAUACUAUAAAAUAAAGUUAGUCUAUUUUUAUGUGUAAAUCCAUCUGAAAUGGGAAAACUCCAGCCUGAGCAGAGUCCGACUUUUGUACUAUUUAUACUCAGGCAGAGAAAGUCCCUCUAUCUCUCUCGAAUGCCAGCAGGCUGAAUGAAGAUAAUGUAAACCCUGUGUGACUUUAUGUUGUAUAGGGAGAAUGGCCACAUGGGAAUGCUCUUGUGUGUGUGUGUGUGUGUGUGUGUGUAUAUGAAAGGAGGAGACAGAUGGGCUGCUGAUGUUGAGGAGAGGGAGUUUGGCUCGCAGGUUCCUGCUCUGGGCUCUGGAAGCGAAGGAGACAAACAAGAUGUUUCAUCCUGUCACAGUAGGAGCGCCGUAUCACUCUGCUCGCCUGAGGAAAGUUGCCACCUUAUCCACUCCGCUUCUCCUCCUUAUCCACUUUUUCAUUCACAACAUUUAAUCCAUGUAACCUCUUUUUUUUUCCAGAGGAAACCACGGAAGGUGUUUUAACUUGGUUUUGAGGUAGAAACAAUCCUCUUGUUCUAUUUUGUCACUUUCAACUGUUACUUUUUUUUUUACCUUUCACAGUGGGAACAGUCCACUUCUUUUUUUUGUCACUUUCUAUUCCCUCAGCCCUGUCUCUCACUCCACCCAUCUUGCCUACUUUUACAUUGUGCGAGUCUUCCAGGUCCUGAAGCAGCAACACAGCCCCAGACCAUCACACUACCACCACUAUAUUUUACUGUGAUAUUUUUUUAUUCUGAAAUGAGAUUUAACAGGACACACACCUUCCAAGUUUAGAGUAUUUUCCCAAAGGUCAUCAAUUGAUCUUAGUUCCCUAGUUUGGAAAAUAUAUUAUUUUACUGUUAAAUACACAUACAUGCACUUGUUUUCAUGUUUUUAUUUUGGUUGGAAUGGGGACAUAGCAGGGUAGAGUGUUGCGUAUGCUAUUUGAGUGAAAAGUGUGUGUGUGCAGUCGUGUUAUUGUGCCUUAUUCCAGAUAUGGUUGCUGUGUCUCUUGCCUGUCUGUGUGAUAAUGAGGCCACAGGGGGCUGACAACAGAGACGCAGACCGAGCAGGAGCGUUCAGUGAGUUCACAAAGAUGCUGUUGCAUCUUUUAAAAAAAGAUCCCCUCAUGUUCUGAGACAUGGCUGAGAAAGUUGUGAGGCUGCUUAUAGGAAUAAACAUGGAGCUAAUAUCAAGUUUAAACAUCAUGUUGAAUGUGGGAGGUGGACUUAUACCAACAUUAUUAUUAUUAUUAUGACAUUAUUAUUAUUCAUUCAUUCAUUUUCUACCGCUUAUCCUUGCCCAGUUGUGUUAGGGCGAGAGGCGGGGUACACCCUGGACUGGUGGCCAGCCAAUCACAGGGCACAUAUAGACAAACAACCAUUCACACUCACAUUCAUACCUAUGGACAAUUUGGAGUCACCAAUUAACCUACCAUGUUUUUGGAAUGUGGGAGGAAACCGGAGUACCCGGAGAAAACCCACGCAUGCACGGGCAGAACAUGCAAACUCCACACAGAGAUGGCCGAGGGUGGAAUUGAACUUGGGUCUCCUAGCUGUGACGUCUAUGCGUUAACCACUUCGUCGCCGUGCAGCUAUUAUUAUUAUUAUACCAAUAUUGCCAAAACCCUGUGUUCAGACACAAGAGGAAGCCCACAUCUUUAUUUUCACUACAUGUGAAAAUAAAUAAUUUACAUUUCCAGUGUCAAAAUAUGUAUUAUACAGGAAAAAUAUGAAAAAGUGAAUAUUAUAGUUCCAUAAAGUAUCCCGUCUCUCCUCCAUUGCGUUGACAUCUUAGCCAGCUACGGGUAAACACAACAGACGUAGCAAGACAACAGAAUUGGAUCAUAGCUCAGACGGUCCUGGUCUACAGGAGCAUCACAAAGGCAGUCAUGAGCGGUGGGGUGCAUCCAACCGGACGCCGCAAGGCCAGCGGGACGGGCAGUCAGUGUGGGGGGCAAGUAGAGAUAGAAUUAUCGUCAAUGUCUUCAUUGUAAAAAAACAAAAUGGGUCAGUGAAGUUCCAAAACAGACAUUCUCCAUUUAUGUAACGCCGUCAUGCUUUUUUUCAUUAAUAAGCAAGCCUGAAGGUUAGCAGGUUAGGUCAUGUGACAUACAUUUAUAGUAGAUAAUAGUAAAAUGAGGUGAAUUUAAUCCACCCAUUUCUGAUUAUAGUGGACAUCCAUCUUUAAAGACAUAUUUGACCGUACUAGUUAUAUAGAGCAAUCACGUUUUACAGCCAAAGGCCUUUUCAUUCUGCCUAUUUUCUACUGGGCGUCCUGCUUUAAAGACUCUUUAAAGACAUACAUCCCUCUAGUCUUGUCCUCCUGGAAGCAUGCAUGGCUAACUUCGGUUUUGUUCCAUGAACUUGUGUUUUGGGAGAAGGGCUUUGUUUGUCUUUCUGCCAAUCAUUCUUUUGGAUCCCGUAGUUUAUGAGAUGGCAGCAUUUUGUUUUUGUGUUUUUGCCUUCAGAUCAUUUCUGUUUGGAUGUUGCCGCGUGUUUGCCUCCAUCGGCCACAGUAGAUAUCGCCGUGUUUACAUUUAACCAACAACUGUCAGAACAUGAGAAUGCAGGUAAGCCAGACAAUGCAUUCGUUCUUUUUGGUAGUAUUGAUUGUGUCACUUGAACUUUGCAGGGGUUGGUCUGGACACCUGAGUAAUCCCUGACUGGAACUCUGGGUUGCCUAGCAACCAUAAGAUUGGGGAGCUGGAAAGAAAACUCAUCCAAUUAAAUGUUAAAUAACAUUAUCAAGCAUGGCUCUCAGUAAGCAGGCUACACCCAAUAUUUCAUAGGUGAAAAAUGUUAAAAAUGUCAAAAUGGGCAAAUUGAAAGAACCAAACCUGUAAGAAUAAAAAUCCUAAAGCCCUCGUCAUGGUCCUGGAACAAUACCAUAAGCAGAAUUCCCAGUUUGAUGUUCCUCACUGCAGUGACAGAAGAGGAAAUGAUGUUGUAAAACAUUAACAACCUUAACACAUUACCAGAAACAAUAAGUUGUAGCGAAUGAAUGAAUGAAUGAAUGAAAGGACUGAACUAACAGGAUUAAUUCAUAAAUUGUGAACGUGUGAUCAUAUUACAGUAUGUCCUCUAUGGAAAUGUUGCCAAGCAUGUCUCACAAACAUUACUAUCCUGAGCAUCAUCUUGUGUUGAUGCUCCUCACAGAGAAGAACCGAGGAGUGAGAGGAGGGGAAGAAAAGGAGAGAAAUCACUGCAUGAUGUGUUCAGUGCCCUGUGUGAAAGACCAAAAAAAGCCUCUAUGGCAGGAUAGCAGCCAAAAACAAUACUAGUUCUUCAUGAUCAUUUCAUAACUGAACUCCAGAUAGGUGACCAGGAGGGAGUGGAUUAUAUUAAUAUGUAUGAUAAGAAAAUGGGAUUGGAAGAAAAGGCCAAAUGAAAGAAGGAAAGGAAGCCGACAGGUCAGUCAUUCAGGCUCCACCACGCAGAGAAAAAUAUGAGAUUUAUCAUGUGAUGCCAGGCCCCAGUUUGUGUAGCGGAAAGGAAGGUAAGUAGAGCGAUGGAGGCUGAGGGGGAACGCGCCAACUAGUUCAUCAUGGUAGCCUAGUUAGGUGAAAGCUUCAUGAGAGAAAGGUAUGCUCAUUAAAUCCCUUACGACCAAACUCUACAUUUCUCUACUUUUCUUCUCCACUUCCACUUUUGCGUUAUGUGUGGAGCUGUCGUAUGGACUUCUAUGCUCCACACGAGAUAGCGAGGCCGCGGUGCUUUUUAGUUUGUUUUCUAUUGUCAAAUUGGCACAAUACACAUAAUACAGCCUUGACACACAGAAAGUACAAUACACGUCUCAUGGGUUCCUUUGUUUAAGUGCCGGUUUGUUCACUUUACUUCAUUUUCUACAGCUUAUCCUCACGAGGGUCGCGGGGGUGCUGGAGCCUAUCCCAGCUAUCUUCGGGCGAGAGGCGGGGUACACCCUGGACUGGUGGCCAGCCAAUCACAGCAACAUUUCAACAUGUAUUUCCCAAACAACAAUAUUUUGUUUGGGAUGUCGGACUGUCCUUGUCUUCCCGCUUAAGCUUUUAAACAUCAUUGAAGGAUGACUGAAGUUUCUUUAGUAUUCUCUGCAAUAUGACUGUCGAACCCUCUCACUAUUUGGUCAUUAUUAGUACAAUAAUUCCAAACUUUAAUUCCACGUGUUGCCAAUUAUGUAAUAUAGGCUGUAUGAACCCAGACGUAUACUUCAAACAGGUCACAUCUGCAAACUCCUUACCAGACAAUGAUUGAUAAAGAGGAAGUGGAAUUCCUUUUUGAUGAGACAUCUUAACUCCAUAACCAGCAGUGUGACCACAAUGAACAUGGAUAAAAACUGUAGUUCAUUUUUCUUCUGGAUGUUUUACAGCCGAGAGGCAACGCUUUGCGUGGCAUCUCGCUAUUGCGGUCCUAACUUUCUCCAGAGCGUUGAAGAAGAAAGAUGGAGGCCGGCCAAAUUGCCGACUCACACACGCUUACACAGAUGCACACAUCCGUUCCUGACGUCUUCUGUUUCUUCCCUCCAGAGUAAUGAAGUGUGACCACUAUGACAGAGGAGAUGCUCUCAGAGAACCCCCCUGCGUAUGUCUCUCCAGGUUACACGCUACAUACAUCACACAUAUACUAUUAUAUCCAUAAAUAGCUCACAGCUGUCUAUCAGUCAGUCUUCCUGACAUAUCAUAUACAUUUUUUGUACACCUGAGCUUCCUCACGUUGGGUGAUGUCGAGCAUUGUACUGUUCUCAGUAUCAUAGUAUGUACGCUACUGGGACUUUUUGAAUAGAUUAAAGCAUUAAAGCAUAUUAAUAUUAAGAAUACAGAUGGACUCCUGCAAUAUAUUAACAACAACACAAGCCAUGCACAAAGAAUGCACGCAAACAGAGGCGUAAUUGAUUGAUGUUAACCAAAAAAGUAUGCUAACCGGGGCGGACGCUAACCGAGGUUCCACUGUAAUGCCUGCUAGUUGCUUACAUGACUCCAUUCUACCGCUCUCUGACACAAAUGCUUUGACAUGCUAUUUUUGAUGCUUUCACCUGGUGGCCAGCCAAUCACAGGGCACAUAUAGACAAACAACCAUUCACACUCAUAUUCAUACCUAUGGACAAUUUGGAGUCAACAAUUAACCUAGCAUGUUUUUGGAAUGUGGGAGGAAACCGGAGUACCCGGAGAAAACGGGUACAUGCAAACUCCAAACAGAGAUGGCCGCGGGUGGAAUUGAACCCUGGUCUCCUCGCUGUGAGGUCUGCACGCUAACCACUCGUCCACCGUGCAGCCCUCACCUCAGAUUAUAGAUACAAUUUUACAUACGUGCUCCGUUAGUAGGAAUCUUAGUAACUCUUAUAACAAAUCCGACCGCCGGUCCUGGCAUGUUUCACCGUGCAGUGGGAUGUUCAAUGUCAUCAGGAAAGGACACACACACACAUGGGAAUGUGCAGUUAAGUGACGCAUAAGAUACUGUGAACCAGACUCGGAUUUGGAAUUGGACUUUUAAGACCACCUUGAAAUGCGGUUUGGGAAAUAAUCUCAUAUCAUAUGUUUUUUAUUCAAUAGCCAGACAGCCAACACUCAAGUCAAAAAUGUAUUUGGCCUGGCGGGCUCAACUGAGAGUAUUAUUUUCCCCUGAGUAGCUUGAAAAAUGGGAGGAAUAAAUUCAGCAGGAUGUUUGCUUUAGUCGGUAGCAUAACACAUUUCCUGCUUCAAUAUAUUUAUUGUGGAUUUAAUUUAGUAUUGACAUGUACAGAGACCCAAAUCCCUGCCUUGUUAUGGAGAAAGACGACACUUUUUUUGACAAGAAGGGGAAGAAAAAGACAGGAAAUGCUUGUUGUUUAGUUGUCUGCAGUUACGGAAUGACGAAUGUGAUCGUUUCUUUGUCGAUGUAGACUACAAUCUUGAACUUCCACAUGACCAGAUAUAUUUUGCCUCCAUGAGGGCCCAUAUCUGUCGCGUGACUGGAAUGUCAGAUUAUUUUUGUCUAAAUGGGACAACGUGUAGAGAAAUGUGCUCUGUUUAUGAAAAGAUGCAGUCUGGAAAGUAGCGGACGCUCUUUAUUAUUUCUUUUUUCUUUAAACAAAAUGUCGAGGCACCAAUAACUGACUUCCUCAAUUAUUCAAUUGCACAUCAGUUGAACUGCUGGAAGCCAUUAAAACCUAAUGGAAGCAAAGUUAAAACAUGACCAUAUAUGUUCAUAUAUCAAAAAUGAUUAUAAAUAUGACUGCAAUGUUGGCCGAAGGUCCGUUUACUUUUAAGUGGAGUUGGAAGUCGGGGGUUCUCGGUGGUAAUUUGUAGGUGCUGUUCCCAGAUGUUCCAUUUGAGAUUCAAUUUCCUUCUGCCAGCGAGGUCACAGUAAGGUGCUAAAGCAGAUGCAGCAGCUGUUCAAAUGUUCCCUUCUCCAGGUUUGCUUUCACCAAAACAUCAUUUCAAGACCUCUUGUUGUGCGGAAUUGACUUUUAAUGAUGUUAUAACAGUUAAUAUGUGUGCAUGGAGCCUGUUAUGAGCACCAAAUAUGACAUUAUGGCAUCUUACUCAGUUGUGCUCAAAUGGUCGUUUUCGAAUUUUUGGGUCUUUAGUGUGAUUCUUGUUUUAUUUUCUGAUAUUUUGGCUACUAUAUUAGAUAAUACGAGUGUAAAGGUGACUAUAGGGGUGCUAUUGAUGUCUCGAGGGCUGGAAUGUAUUUAAACGUCAUAAACAGUUUUUGCCCUUCCUUUUAUGAAGAGGGAAACCUUUCACAUACUUUUCAUAGAUAUUCCAAAUGAUCCAUAUGCAUCUGUAUAUACUUUGGAAGAACUAAACAGAACGUGUGCUUUGUUUCCACCAUCAAAUACAGUAAAAGAACCUCCCACUGGAGAGAUGGGCAUCCAGACUUCAAGGAGGUUUCCUUCCAAUUCGCCUUUCUACAGUUGCAGCGGCGUAUUAUGCAAAUGAGGCUGCCUGAUUUCGUCAAGAAGUGUGAUGAUGAUGAAGCUGGCCAGACAGGAAUGGAUCACCUGGACACACUUCAGAGGGAAGACGGAGGGUGGAACCCGGGCGCAACAGAUGUGGAUAUUAUCUUCUUUGACAACGAAGUUCAUCACGGCGGAAUGAGGACAGGAUGAACUUUGGUUAGAAGUUCGUUACACCCAAAGAGUGAUGAUCUUACCGAGCUGUGGAAGCCUUGCUGAUGGACGGAACCGACCGAAGACAGUUCUGGAGGAGACAAGGGUGAGAGCGGAAGUGUCCGGGUUGAAACCAAGAGGAAAGAUGCUCUGUGAUGUUUUAAAAAUCCAACUCUACUUCAAGCUCGGCAACGUCGAGGGAUUUUGAAAACUCUGAUGCGGAAUAUGCGCUAAAACUGCCUGUGGAUGCAAUGAAAAGUGUUGGAGUGUACUUCAUCUAAAAGAGGAACGCAUAUUCUUUUUUCGUUGUUGUUAUUUCUCCUUUUUUGGACCAUCUGAAGAAAGGAUUCCGCAGAAGUUUGCGCACCGUGUUUAUAUAUUCAUUUAAAAAAAAGGCUUAACGCCGCAGUCCCGGACCUAGACCUUUUCAUAAAAAUCCCCACUAGUGGAUGUUAAGAAGUGCUACUGAGGCCCCUGGCGAGAGGUUGGGAACACCUGGGGCUCAGGGGGCCCCCCCCUGCGCACCGCAGCGAGGCUGCAGAGACGGACCCGGUGCGCCAGCGAGCCACUUGGAAGUCUCUCCGGUCCAGCAAAGACCUGCACAGAACCCGAUUUUGUCAUCCAGAUCUUCUCUCCUUGCCACCAAAAGGUUGUUUGGCUCAUUUCCAGGCUGGUGUGGACUUUGUGCAGCCGCAAAACUGAUCAUGCGAUGACUGAGUGCGCUUUAGAUACAUCUACCCAGUCCAA